RNAcentral lists this ribosomal RNA (307 nucleotides) under Amoebophrya sp. RNAcentral describes it as "SSU rRNA". It matches the Rfam family "Eukaryotic small subunit ribosomal RNA", at positions 595 to 906 of the family's 1831-position model. Lineage: Eukaryota; Dinophyceae; Syndiniales; Amoebophryaceae. The record is from RNAcentral.
UGGCGUAUGUUAAAGUUGUCGCGGCCAAAAAGCUCGUAGUCGGAUUUCUGUCGAGGAACUCUGGUCCGCUCUAUGAGCGCGCAUCUGGUCGCGCCUCGGCAUCCGCUCUGCAUACGUGUCUGCGCUCGAUUGCGUGGCGCGGAGGUAGGGCCUUUUACUUUGAGGAAAUUAGAGUGUCCACGGCAGGCUUUCGCCUCGAAUAUAUUGGCAUGGAAUAAUAACAUAGGAUCUUGGUUCUAUUUUGUUGGUUUCUAGGGCUGAGAUAAUGAUCAAUAGGGACAAUCGGGGGCAUUCGUAUUGCGGUGUC